GGCCAGACUCCUACGGGAGGCAGCAGUAGGGAAUUUUGCGCAAUGGGCGAAAGCCUGACGCAGCAACGCCGCGUGAUCGAGACGCCCUUCGGGGUGUAAAGAUCUGUCAGUGGGGACGAAACUUGACGGUACCCACAGAGGAAGCACCGGCUAACUCCGUGCCAGCAGCCGCGGUAAUACGGAGGAUGCGAGCGUUAUCCGGAUUUAUUGGGUUUAAAGGGUGCGCAGGCGGAGGUGCAAGUCAGCGGUCAAAUUGCGGGGCUCAACCCCGUACUGCCGUUGAAACUGCAUCCCUUGAGUGCGCGAGAAGUAUGCGGAAUGCGUGGUGUAGCGGUGAAAUGCAUAGAUAUCACGCAGAACUCCGAUUGCGAAGGCAGCAUACCGGCGCGCAACUGACGCUCAUGCACGAAAGCGUGGGUAUCGAACAGGAUUAGAUACCCCCGUACAA
This 448-nucleotide ribosomal RNA is filed under the name uncultured bacterium. RNAcentral's name for it is "bacterial SSU rRNA". It matches the Rfam family "Bacterial small subunit ribosomal RNA", at positions 329 to 794 of the family's 1533-position model. The record is from RNAcentral.